GGUGCACAAAUUUCUUCAUACUUUCUACAACCAUGAUUUUUAAGAACCAAAUAAUAGAUACAAUUAGUAAAACAUAAAACUAUCAACAACAAUAGUAGUAAUUGUGUUUCUGUGUACAACAAUAACAAUUAAGUCUUAAUGUAUUUGCCAUUGAUUAUAUGAACCCUUGAUGUAUUUUUGUGUACAUCACAAAAAUUUUGAAGGGGAUGGAUGGUGUUGGGAUUUGAGCCCCUGUCCUCCCAGACUACUUCUUUUUGUUACUUUUGAAAUAUGACCUUCUAUACUAUCAAACGAGGACUUGUACCAAAAUGUUUUGAGCAUAUUAACCUCCACACUCUACAAAAAAAUUGCAAAAAUAAAGAGGGAGAUGUAAACAUGUCUAGUGCAUCAAAUUUAGCAUCAUCUAGUAGCCAAAUAUACGUCAAGAAAUUUUUAAAGUACAAUUCAGCACCUAAUGAAUUUUUUGCCAUACUGUGUUAAUUACGUCAAGGGUUUCCAUCACCAUUGAUCAUCAUUUUGUUAUCAUCAUUAGACUUGUACCAACUGUAAUGUGACCUCAAAACUUGAAGAAAACAAGCACAUUUCAUUUCACUAAAU
RNAcentral lists this unclassified non-coding RNA (597 nucleotides) under Hevea brasiliensis (rubber tree). The record is from RNAcentral. Lineage: Eukaryota; Viridiplantae; Streptophyta; Magnoliopsida; Malpighiales; Euphorbiaceae.